AGUGAACGCUGGCGGCAGGCCUAACACAUGCAAGUCGAACGGCAGCACAGUAAGUGCUUGCUCUUACGUGUGGCGCGUGGCGGACGGGUGAGGUAUACACCGGAAUCUACUUUUUCGCGGGUGAUAACGUCGGGAAACUUACGCUAAUACCGCAUUCGACGUACGUGUGACAGCAGGGGAUCUUCGGACCUUGUGCGUUUGAUUGAGCCGAUGUCGGAUUACCUAGUUGGCGGGGUAAAGGCCCACCAAGGCGACGAUCCGUAGCGGGUCCGAGCGGAUGAUUAGGCAGACGGGAAGUGAGGAAGGGUCCACACACUGACGGGAGGCAGCAGUGGGGAAUAUUGGACGAUGGGCGCAAGCCUGAUCCAGCCAUACCGCGUGGGUGAAGAAGGCGUUCGGGUUGGAAAGCGAUGUUGUUGGGAAAGAAAUGCAGCAGUUUAACACCCCGCGGUAAUGACGGUACCCAAAGAAGAAGCACCGGCCAACUUCGUG
This 492-nucleotide ribosomal RNA is filed under the name uncultured bacterium. RNAcentral describes it as "partial 16S ribosomal RNA". It matches the Rfam family "Bacterial small subunit ribosomal RNA", at positions 29 to 507 of the family's 1533-position model. The record is from RNAcentral.